This 375-nucleotide ribosomal RNA is filed under the name Triticum aestivum (bread wheat). RNAcentral's name for it is "partial small subunit ribosomal RNA". The record is from RNAcentral. Lineage: Eukaryota; Viridiplantae; Streptophyta; Magnoliopsida; Poales; Poaceae.
AUGUUUUGUAGUCUCAACGAUGAUGCAUACAUAUCAACUAUGGGCGUUGGCUCCAACAAUUCGCAUUGGUCUCAAACCAAUGACAUGCAUUUCGAAGAUCAUGAGUUCGAGGUGGACAAGGAUGGUGAGGGCAUUGUCGACGCGCCGAAAGGAAGAGCAGAAGUUUACACCAACGCCGAAGACAUCUUACUAUGCAAUACUUGGUUGCAAGUGUCGAGGGAUCCAUCCGUUGGAGGUGAUCAAAUUAGAGAUGCUUAUUGGGGGCGGAUGAAAGAACACUUUGAUAUUUGCUACCUCUUGAGCACUGCGUUGGAUUUCCCCGAAGAGGAGAGGAUGAUGCAGCAAAGUAGCGUAAGUAUUUCCCUCAGUUUUUGA